Molecule: long non-coding RNA, 270 nt
Organism: Helianthus annuus (common sunflower)
Lineage: Eukaryota; Viridiplantae; Streptophyta; Magnoliopsida; Asterales; Asteraceae
Exons: 3
Source: RefSeq, a predicted model, not a curated record
CUUAGCUUCUUUAAUACGCUUCACUUCACUCCAAAACCCUAAUACCCAUCUCCUGCAUCCGGUUCUUCCUUCUUCAUCGAUUGAUCUUCGAAAAACAUAGAUUUCUUCAUCUUCAAUCGCGAGUGGAAGCAACCAGUCCUUAUUAUGCGGCGUAUAAGGUUUUCCGAUUAAAUUCACGUAUUGAAGUAGAUUUUGAGCAAUUGUCAGAGGUGACGUUGUUUGCUGACACUAUUACAGUUCAACAAUUGGGAGUGAUGAUUUGGCAUACCA